Molecule: unclassified non-coding RNA, 289 nt
Filed under: uncultured fungus
Lineage: Eukaryota; Fungi
Description: partial contains 5.8S rRNA, ITS2 and 28S rRNA
Rfam family: Eukaryotic large subunit ribosomal RNA
Source: RNAcentral
AAGGAGUCUAACAUGUACGCGAGUGUAUGAGUGGCAAACUCAUGCGCGGAAUGAAAGUGAACGUAGGUGGGACUCGCAAGAGGCACCAUCGACCGAUCUGGAAGUUUACUGAAAGAUUUGAGUAAGAGCGUACCUGCUGGGACCCGAAAGAUGGUGAACUAUGCCUGAAUAGGGCGAAGCCAGAGGAAACUCUGGUGGAGGCUCGUAGCGAUUCUGACGUGCAAAUCGAUCGUCAAAUUUGGGUAUAGGGGCGAAAGACUAAUCGAACCAUCUAGUAGCUGGUUCCCUC